RNAcentral lists this ribosomal RNA (484 nucleotides) under uncultured bacterium. Its description in RNAcentral is "partial 16S ribosomal RNA". It matches the Rfam family "Bacterial small subunit ribosomal RNA", at positions 30 to 507 of the family's 1533-position model. The record is from RNAcentral.
AUUGAACGCUGGCGGCAGGCCUAACACAUGCAAGUCGAGCGGAUGAAGGGAGCUUGCUCCUGGAUUCAGCGGCGGACGGGUGAGUAAUGCCUAGGAAUCUGCCUGGUAGUGGGGGAUAACGUCCGGAAACGGGCGCUAAUACCGCAUACGUCCUGAGGGAGAAAGUGGGGGAUCUUCGGACCUCACGCUAUCAGAUGAGCCUAGGUCGGAUUAGCUAGUUGGUGGGGUAAAGGCCUACCAAGGCGACGAUCCGUAACUGGUCUGAGAGGAUGAUCAGUCACACUGGAACUGAGACACGGUCCAGACUCCUACGGGAGGCAGCAGUGGGGAAUAUUGGACAAUGGGCGAAAGCCUGAUCCAGCCAUGCCGCAUGUGUGAAGAAGGUCUUCGGAUUGUAAAGCACUUUAAGUUGGGAGGAAGGGCAGUAAGUUAAUACCUUGCUGUUUUGACGUUACCAACAGAAUAAGCCCCGGCUAACUUCGUG